UGUGUCCUGAUCUCCUAAAGCCACAGAAUCCCAGAGACUCACAGUAAAUUUUCUCUUCGGUAAAUCAGAAGGCUCUGCAUAAAUAAGAGACAAAAAGGGAAAAUCCUGGCCAGUUCUCCCCUACCUGAUCAACCAGUAACAUAAUCAGACUUGCAAGACCUCAAGAAAAGAAACCUGAAAAUGCCACUGGAGGUGUGUGUUUUGCCAAAGAAAAACGAAUCAAAAACAAAACCUGCAGGAUGAGGACAAAGAAACAAAGAGCAGGGGUCUCAGCCAUGAACCUUGUGAUGGAUGAGGAAAAGAUAUUCUUUUUCUCCCCUUACACUUUCUGGCAGCCAACAUGGGGUGGCUGAGACACCCCACUAGUUCCAGGACCUGCAGAUAAGAUCCUGGGACAACUAAUAAAAAAACAACAAAAGGUUAAGA
Non-coding RNA from Macaca mulatta (Rhesus monkey), 426 nucleotides. The record is from RefSeq and is a predicted model, not a curated record. NCBI's taxonomy places the organism in Eukaryota, Metazoa, Chordata, Mammalia, Primates, Cercopithecidae.